Molecule: long non-coding RNA, 201 nt
Filed under: Mytilus galloprovincialis (Mediterranean mussel)
Lineage: Eukaryota; Metazoa; Mollusca; Bivalvia; Mytilida; Mytilidae
Source: RNAcentral
CGAGGGUAUCACCAGCCCAGUAGUCAACAUUUCGGUGUUGACAUGAAUAUCAAUAAUGUGGUCAUUUUUAUAAAUUUCCUGUUUACAAAACUUUGAAUUUUACGAAAAACUAAGGAUUUUCUUAUCCCAGGCAUAAAUUACCUUAGCCGUAUUUGGCUCCACUUUUUGGAAUUUUGGAUCCUCAAUGCUCUUUAACUUUGU